UACGUAGGGUGCGAGCGUUGCCCGGAUUUAUUGGGCGUAAAGGGCGCGCAGGCGGCUACGCACGUCCGUUGUGAAAUCGCCCGGCUCAACUGGGCGGGGUCAGCGGAUACGGCGUAGCUGGAGCAAGCUAGGGGGCAAUGGAAUUCCCGGUGUAGUGGUGGAAUGCGUAGAUAUCGGGAGGAACACCAGUGGCGAAGGCGACUUCCUGGCCUGUUCUUGACGCUGAGGCGCGAAAGCUAGGGGAGCAAACGGG
RNAcentral lists this ribosomal RNA (253 nucleotides) under uncultured bacterium. RNAcentral's name for it is "partial 16S ribosomal RNA". It matches the Rfam family "Bacterial small subunit ribosomal RNA", at positions 524 to 776 of the family's 1533-position model. The record is from RNAcentral.